RNAcentral lists this long non-coding RNA (2023 nucleotides) under Nicotiana benthamiana. RNAcentral's name for it is "long non-coding RNA (NBEN_LNC041967)". Lineage: Eukaryota; Viridiplantae; Streptophyta; Magnoliopsida; Solanales; Solanaceae. The record is from RNAcentral.
UAAGCUAUAUGCAACUUCAGAUUUGUAAGCCUCAAAACUAGAUCUAAGUACUCUGAAGGAAUAGAAUUUCAACAACACUUAAUCGACAUUCAAACCAAUAGGGAAUUUCAAAGCCAAACAUUCACAACAUCUUGACUUUAAAAUUCGAAAUAAAAUAAUCAUCUAAUCCAUAUAUUAGACAUCAAUUUUAACUAGUUUCAUAAAAACAUUGACAGGCUCACAAACAAAGUCCGGGAAAAUACAUACAAGUCCAUAUAUAAGAUCUCAGUGAAUGCAAAUAGUCAUCAAAACUGAAAAAACUACAUCUAAUCUUUAGCAUCAACUAAACCCAGAUCUAUAACCCCAAGUAUUAUAUUAGUCCAUGUUACAAAACCUUAGCAAAACUACAACAGAUUGUUCUCUCACAGGGAAUCAAAACACACAUGUGAUAAGCAUAACCUAACUAACAUUUGAUACAAAGCAUAGCUACUAGUUGUUGAAACAAUAAGAAAUACAUGGGGGAAUCAACUCUAAGUGCAGCUUUAUUUCAACCAAACUUCAUUCGGAUUACAUGUUCGAUAUUGAAUGAUUACUUAAAGGCUAGAAAGAUAACUGGGAAAAGAGAAGAAACAAAGAAGAAAUGAGAGUCAGUAGGCUCAACAACAACAAUAGCAGAAGCGAGCUUCAGAUUCAAACAACCGAGUAUAUGAAAUCAACCUAGAAACCAGUAGAACAUUAACUCGUUAAGCAAACUUUGCAACCAACUUAAAACCAAGUUCAGUCCACCUUAAACACUCAAAAUGACCAAAGAUUGCUCCAACAAAUUGCUAAUUUGAAAAUCAGAGAAAAGGAAACCAAUGAAAUAGUAAAAUGCAACCAUUUUUUUAAAAAAAAAUUCUGAAAUCCUUAUCUCUUUCAAUCUGCCGUCAAAUGCAAGAAAGCAUGCUUUUAUAGGCAAGGAAGUAGGGCAGCUUUUAGGUUUUAAUUUUUACCUCUUAAUCCCUUUCAAAUUCUAUUUUUUGCUACCGAAUCCUCAGCUAAUUUUCGUUUUUGCUAAACUACCCUUAAUGUAUUUAUAAAAAUAACAUAACAACACCCCACCACAGCUUCUAGGAAGCUUCCUAGUUAGUUAGAAAAAGAUUCCCCUACCCAAUUACCCACAAUUACCCUUCAAUCCUCUGGGAAUUACUUGAGAAAACCCCAUGGAUCACAUUGACCCAAAGAUGUAAACCCAAUUAAACUGGCUAAAUUUGCAGAACUAGUCAGCAACCACAAAAGCCCAAAUACUAAAGAAAACUUAAAUUCUAUAAACCUCUAAAAAGACAAAAUGACCCAAGUGCUGAGAUAAUUUUCGUAAAUAAACCUAAACUAGAUUAUUGGUUAAUUAAUACAAAUACAUGGAAAUAACUAAAUUAUCAAGCAACUAAUUAACUAAUUAAGAUAGUAUCCCGAAUUAAUCAAUACAUGAAUAGAUAUAUUAUGGGAUAGAAUAAUAAUUAAAAAAAUAAGAAAAAGAAAGGAAGCAGAGAAUGGACCAAGAAUCAUUGAAAUAAGGAUUAGGGAGAUACCUUCUACAGUUUCGGACCAAGAAGAACAUGGCACUAAGCUUCAAACGUUCGAAUUUCCGGUCAAAUUUGAGAUUAAUCGCAUGUUCUCAUAGAGAACAAAUGACUAAUCGUCACAUUAAACCUAAAUCAUCCGCAAAAUCUUGAAUUAAAUUUUAGGGUUCAACUUUGGGAUUCAAGAGUCGAGGAGUCCUGUCAAGAUUCGAAGGUAACAGUAUAUGGAUUGAGAAAGGGGAGAUCGUGGGUUCAAGGGGUGUGAUUUUGGUGGUGAUUGGAACCGGCGCCGCCACCCAAGGCGGUGGAACAAGGGGGCGGCUGGUUAGGGUUCACGAUGGUCUGUAUGAGAGAUGGGGGGAACGUUUCGGAUAUAUAUAUAUAUAUAUAAGUCUCCUCUGUUCUCAGCCGUUUCAUCGAGAAACCUUCAUGGCUGAGAUCAUUAUUUAAUUAAACUGGGUCGUUUGAGUUGGGAGGUGAGGGAC